GGAAUUUUGGACAAUGGGCGAAAGCCUGAUCCAGCAAUGCCGCGUGCAGGAUGAAGGCCUUCGGGUUGUAAACUGCUUUUGUACGGAACGAAAAGUCUCGGGAUAAUACCCUGGGACCAUGACGGUACCGUAAGAAUAAGCACCGGCUAACUACGUGCCAGCAGCCGCGGUAAUACGUAGGGUGCAAGCGUUAAUCGGAAUUACUGGGCGUAAAGCGUGCGCAGGCGGUUAUAUAAGACAGAUGUGAAAUCCCCGGGCUCAACCUGGGAACUGCAUUUGUGACUGUAUAGCUAGAGUACGGUAGAGGGGGAUGGAAUUCCGCGUGUAGCAGUGAAAUGCGUAGAUAUGCGGAGGAACACCGAUGGCGAAGGCAAUCCCCUGGACCUGUACUGACGCUCAUGCACGAAAGCGUGGGGAGCAAACAGGAUUAGAUACCCUAG
This 440-nucleotide ribosomal RNA is filed under the name uncultured Acidovorax sp. Its description in RNAcentral is "bacterial SSU rRNA". It matches the Rfam family "Bacterial small subunit ribosomal RNA", at positions 358 to 790 of the family's 1533-position model. The record is from RNAcentral. Lineage: Bacteria; Pseudomonadati; Pseudomonadota; Betaproteobacteria; Burkholderiales; Comamonadaceae.